This 568-nucleotide long non-coding RNA is filed under the name Lonchura striata (white-rumped munia). RNAcentral's name for it is "domestica (Bengalese finch) lncRNA (ENSLSDG00000009033.1)". The record is from RNAcentral. Lineage: Eukaryota; Metazoa; Chordata; Aves; Passeriformes; Estrildidae.
GGCGGAGCGGAACGGGACGGGGCAGGGGGAGCAGGGGGCUCUCCUUUGCCGGGGUCUGCCGGCGCUCCAGCCCUGACUCCAGGCGCCUGCAGACAAUUUGCUCCCGGCCAUUAGCAGCUGCUGGGUGGCAUCGAAGCUACAAUGGAUCAGAAUGGAGCAAAUGGCACAGCAAGAAUUUCUACAGCAGCACUGCAUGAGGCACAUUUAGCAAGGAAACUCAGAGAAGAGGUUGUGCUGUGCCAGCAUGUGGAUGACCAUGCUUAUUGCCAAGACCACUAAGACAUCUGACACAGACCAGCAGCAGUUCAUCAAUUGUUGAAACUAUUAAUCAAUACCUAUAUCAAAACCAAGACUCUGGAACAUGCUGGACAUGCUACAGUGGCAAGGAAAAGAGUUGCUACUUCUUCAUCCAAACUGCAGGUGUCAACCUGGCACAAAAGUCAGACAGCUGACACGAGGAAGGAGAAUGGAACAAGAGAAAGCAUGACUGUCUUUUUUUGCUUAGAACAUUUAAUGCAGCAAUGAGGGCCUUUUCAGCACUGAAUAGAAAGCAGGUCUUUGGGAAGUG